UUAGCCUCGCCUGGGAGACGGUCGCAAGACUGAACUCAAAGGAUUACGGGCCCGCACAAGCGGUGGAGCAUGUGUUUAAUUCGAAGCACGCGAAGAACCUACCAGGUCUUGACAUCCUUUACAAUCCUAGAGAUAGGACGUCCCCUUCGGGGGCAGAGUGACAGGUGGUGCAUGGUUGUCGUCAGCUCGUGUCGUGAGAUGUUGGGUUAAGUCCCGCAACGAGCGCAACCCUUGAUCUUAGUUGCCAGCAUUCAGUUGGGCACUCUAAGGUGACUGCCGGUGACAAACCGGAGGAAGGUGGGGAUGACGUCAAAUCAUCAUGCCCCUUAUGACCUGGGCUACACACGUGCUACAAUGGACAGAACAAAGGGCAGCGAAACCGCGAGGUUAAGCCAAUCCCACAAAUCUGUUCUCAGUUCGGAUCGCAGUCUGCAACUCGACUGCGUGAAGCUGGAAUCGCUAGUAAUCGCGGAUCAGCAUGCCGCGGUGAAUACGUUCCCGGGCCUUGUACACACCGCCCGUCACACCACGAGAGUUUGUAACACCCGAAGUCGGUGAGGUAACCUUUUAGGAGC
This 575-nucleotide ribosomal RNA is filed under the name Bacillus subtilis subsp. subtilis str. 168. RNAcentral describes it as "bacterial SSU rRNA". It matches the Rfam family "Bacterial small subunit ribosomal RNA", at positions 863 to 1449 of the family's 1533-position model. Lineage: Bacteria; Bacillati; Bacillota; Bacilli; Caryophanales; Bacillaceae. The record is from RNAcentral.